RNAcentral lists this ribosomal RNA (314 nucleotides) under uncultured Gemmatimonadota bacterium. RNAcentral describes it as "bacterial SSU rRNA". It matches the Rfam family "Bacterial small subunit ribosomal RNA", at positions 28 to 351 of the family's 1533-position model. Lineage: Bacteria; Pseudomonadati; Gemmatimonadota. The record is from RNAcentral.
GAUGAACGCUGGCGGCGUGCUUAACACAUGCAAGUCAAGGGGGCCCAGCAAUGGGCAACCGGCGAACGGGUGCGUAACACGUGAGCAACCUACCGAAAUGUGGGGGAUAGCCGGCCCAACGGCCGGGUAAUACCGCAUACGCUCGAGACCAGGCAUUUGGACUCGAGGAAAUUUACGGAGCAUUUCGAGGGGCUCGCGGCCUAUCAGCUAGUUGGUGAGGUAACGGCUCACCAAGGCUACGACGGGUAGCUGGUCUGAGAGGAUGGCCAGCCACAUUGGGACUGAGAUACGGCCCAGACUCCUACGGGUGGCAG